Molecule: long non-coding RNA, 1642 nt
Organism: Varroa destructor (honeybee mite)
Lineage: Eukaryota; Metazoa; Arthropoda; Arachnida; Mesostigmata; Varroidae
Source: RefSeq, a predicted model, not a curated record
GUUUUUUAUUCCGGUGAUUCUCAAACCUUACACCAUAGCAUGACUGAAUUGUGUACAGCUUUGUUUUUUUGGGAAGAUAUAGAAACAAGUUUUUGCCCUUCUCUAUUGAAGUAUACUUAACGAAUUUUAACACCUCCCGAUCGUUCUUCUUAAUGGUGAUUAUUUGUCGUUUUGUAUAUAUGAUGGCGGUCUUUGCCUCAACAAAUGGAUAAUUCGUAGAUCGGGUUUUUUUCGUUAAUAGUGUGCGUCCUGAUUUAACGUAAAGCUGUACUGCAGGCGUUCGUUUUGUAUUGUACACUCUGUGCGAGACAGAUCCCUGGUAACGGGUAAAUGAAUAAGUAAUUCACCCAGAAUUUUCCUAGCGGGUUUCCUAGAGGUUUCCUAUAGCGCAGAAUAUAUUCCACUCGAUUCGGCCAUUGUUAACAAAAAGUGUACGAAGCUCCUACUGAUACUGCCUUGGUGUUUCUCUAAGCACCUGAAUCUGCUUGGUGUUCAAUUCAAUACCGAAGCUUUUGAGUAAGUAAAUAAGUAAUUAGACAGUGGUGAUUCACCUGCGCGCAGCUACGUUUAAGAAGCCAAAAUGAAGCACAUGAUACUUGGAUCUGUUCGUAUAUUCGAAGGAAGUGUAUUUGCGAUAAGGAAGGCUGUUAUGAGCUCCGCAGCGACGAACAAGGACAAGACGAAUUUGCUCGUAUGGAUCUUCUUUGUAAAGGACAAUCAAGCAAUGCGUUAGCCUCUAUAAACGAGCCCAGUCAACUGAUGCCCUAACACAUUUGUAAUAAAUUGAGAAUACAGAAUUCGGCUAAAAAAAUGGGUUCCCGUGAAUUGGCUCUAGCCAGCUGGAAAUGUGUAACCUGUGUUCUACGUACAGUCUGCCGAACAGAAAAUUCGCUUGAAGCGUACGGUCGCUACAAAGCAGGCAGGCAUCGUUCAAUCCGAACUACCGGCUGGAGAGGGACGAGGCGAAAGAAUAGCGUCCCCCUGCCUUGAAACCGCUGGCAAUUUCGAUCAGCUUUGGCUUUAAGUAAUCAUUCAUUAAGCACCCUACGCGCUUUGUUCUGCUGGAGCACCGGUUUGUUUCAAGUUCGUCUUUCGACGUACUGGCCGCGCACGUCGAGACCACCAUCGUCGUGCUGCAUCGUUCCAUUCCAUUGGGGUUCCGAAGUACUCAAUGUCUUAAGAACAAUUCUCGCGAAAGCCAGGGCGACACGGCUAAUGAGGUCUUGACCGACGCUGCUGGCGGGGUAAAGCUAACGAACCAGCUCAGGCUCCAGGCAGAGCUGAAGUGAUUCUGUUAAUCGUACAAGAGAAAUGCCCACGAACCUGUUGCCAUUCCGAGGCGCCAAAAAUCUAGCUUGGCAGGAGUAUGGAAAAAUUGCUCAAAUCGGCACAUCGCAAUUCCGAACUUCCGCAAUAUUUGGCUUUUGAUUCAAGCUUCCAACUUUUAACUAGCCUGAAAUCUCGAGAGACUACAUGCUUCAAAGACACUUUUACCACGUUAUACGCUCUCAUAAUGAAAGGCAACAGUUUGUUUCUCACCAAGGAAUUGUAUAUCGACGAGAAAUCCUGCCUGAUACAGGCAUCAUGCAAGAUUUUUCGUUUUUAAUAAGUUUUAAAAUCUCAAAAAAUACGAAACGUUCGU